Molecule: long non-coding RNA, 364 nt
Organism: Zophobas morio
Lineage: Eukaryota; Metazoa; Arthropoda; Insecta; Coleoptera; Tenebrionidae
Exons: 3
Source: RefSeq, a predicted model, not a curated record
UUCCACUAUGCCGAAGCCCUUGCACAAAGAUGUAAAGCAAAUGGACGAUAAUUUAGUGGACUAUUUUGCUAAAGAACGCGAUAGCGGGGGACCUCUUUUACCACUAACAGCUGUUCAAGACAGGGUUGCUGCUGCUCUGGGUGUAUGUGUGCGAACAGUGAACUCCGUGGUACAACAAAUAAAAACCGGAGAAGGUGUACAUUCUCCCAAGAAAUAGAGACCCCCGAACAAAGCAAGUGUGUGAUAUUAGCACUUCGGAGCACUGUGCUAUUCGAUAAUGCUUAUAUGGAAUGGUCGAAAAAAAAAUACAUGUUACACGAUCGCCAUUAAUUGAUUGCUUGAAGGAGAAACAUAUAUUUGAGGG